Molecule: ribosomal RNA, 497 nt
Filed under: uncultured bacterium
Lineage: Bacteria
Description: partial 16S ribosomal RNA
Rfam family: Bacterial small subunit ribosomal RNA
Source: RNAcentral
GAUGAACGCUGGCGGCGUGCCUAAUACAUGCAAGUCGAGCGAACGGACGAGAAGCUUGCUUCUCUGAUGUUAGCGGCGGACGGGUGAGUAACACGUGGAUAACCUACCUAUAAGACUGGGAUAACUUCGGGAAACCGGAGCUAAUACCGGAUAAUAUUUUGAACCGCAUGGUUCAAAAGUGAAAGACGGUCUUGCUGUCACUUAUAGAUGGAUCCGCGCUGCAUUAGCUAGUUGGUAAGGUAACGGCUUACCAAGGCAACGAUGCAUAGCCGACCUGAGAGGGUGAUCGGCCACACUGGAACUGAGACACGGUCCAGACUCCUACGGGAGGCAGCAGUAGGGAAUCUUCCGCAAAGGGCGAAAGCCUGACGGUGCAACGCCGCGUGAGUGAUGAAGGUCUUCGGAUCGUAAAACUCUGUUAUUAGGGAAGAACAUAUGUGUAAGUAACUGUGCACAUCUUGACGGUACCUAAUCAGAAAGCCACGGCUAACUACGUG